UACGUAGGUGACAAGCGUUGUCCGGAUUUACUGGGCGUAAAGAGCGCGCAGGCGGUCGAUCAAGUCGGGUGUGAAAGCCCCCGGCUCAACUGGGGAGGGUCAUUCGAUACUGAUCGACUCGAAGGCAGGAGAGGGUAGUGGAAUUCCCGGUGUAGUGGUGAAAUGCGUAGAUAUCGGGAGGAACACCAGUGGCGAAGGCGACUACCUGGCCUGUUCUUGACGCUGAGGCGCGAAAGCUAGGGGAGCAAACAGG
Molecule: ribosomal RNA, 253 nt
Filed under: uncultured bacterium
Lineage: Bacteria
Description: partial 16S ribosomal RNA
Rfam family: Bacterial small subunit ribosomal RNA
Source: RNAcentral